CGCCCUUAGAGUUUGAUCAUGGCUCAGAUUGAACGCUGGCGGCAGGCCUAACACAUGCAAGUCGAACGGUAAAGUAGCUUGCUACUUACGAGUGGCGGACGGGUGAGUAAUGUCUGGGGAUCUGCCUGAUGGAGGGGGAUAACUACUGGAAACGGUAGCUAAUACCGCAUAAUGUCGCAAGACCAAAGCGGUUCGUCGCACCAUCAGAUGAACCCAGAUGGGAUUAGCUAGUAGGUAGGGUAAUGGCUUACCUAGGCGACGAUCCCUAGCUGGUCUGAGAGGAUGACCAGCCACACUGGAACUGAGACACGGUCCAGACUCCUACGGGAGGCAGCAGUGGGGAAUAUUGCACAAUGGGCGCAAGCCUGAUGCAGCCAUGCCGCGUGUAUGAAGAAGGCCUUCGGGUUGUAAAGUACUUUCAGUCAGGAGGGAAGGGUGUGAAUAAUUUCAUGCAUUGACGGUACUGACAGAAGGAGCACCGGCUAACUCCGUGCCAGCAGCCGCGGUAAUACGGAGGGUGCAAGCGUUAAUCGGAAUUACUGGGCGUAAAGCGCACGCAGGGUUGUUAAGUCAGAUGUGAAUUCCCCGGC
RNAcentral lists this ribosomal RNA (590 nucleotides) under uncultured Pantoea sp. RNAcentral describes it as "bacterial SSU rRNA". It matches the Rfam family "Bacterial small subunit ribosomal RNA", at positions 1 to 608 of the family's 1533-position model. Lineage: Bacteria; Pseudomonadati; Pseudomonadota; Gammaproteobacteria; Enterobacterales; Erwiniaceae. The record is from RNAcentral.